Pan troglodytes (chimpanzee) is the source of this 3062-nucleotide long non-coding RNA. RefSeq lists it as uncharacterized. The transcript is spliced from 4 exons. The record is from RefSeq and is a predicted model, not a curated record. Lineage: Eukaryota; Metazoa; Chordata; Mammalia; Primates; Hominidae.
CUUGAAGGCAGCAUGCUCCUUAAGAGUCAUCACCGCUCCCUAAUCUCAAGUACCCAGGGACACAAAAACUGUGGAAGGCUGCAGGGACCUCUGCCUAGGAAAGCCAGGUCAAUAGGAACUAAUUUUUUUCCAAGGAGAAUUUUCAGUUUUCAGUAGAAACAAUUUUCAAAUGUCUGCCAAAAACAACUUGUUUUUUUUUUUUUUUUUUUUUUUUUUGAGAUGGAGUUUCGCUCUUGUUGCCCAGGCUGGAGUGCAAUGGCAUGAUCUUGGCUCACUGUAACCUCUGUCUCCCGGUUCAAGCGAUUCUCCUGCCUCAGCCCCCUGAAUAGCUGAAAUUACAGGUGCCAGCCACCACCCCUGGCUAAUUUUUUGUAUUUUUAGUAGAGAUAGGGUUUUACCAUGAUGGCUAGGCUGGUCUCAAACUCCUAACCUCAGGUGAUCCACCCGCCUUAGCCUCCCAAAGUACUGGGAUUACAUGCAUGAGCCACUGUGCCCGGCUGCCAAAAACAACUUUUUUUUUUUUUUUUUUUUUGAGACAGAGUCUUGCUCUAUCGCCCAUGCUGGAGUGCAGUGGCACGAUCUCGACACACUGCAACCUUUGCUUCCUGAGUUCAAGCGAUUCUCCUGCCUCAGCCUCCUGAGUAGCUGGGAUUACAGGCACAUGCCACCAUGCCCGGCUAAUUUUUUAUAUUUUUAGUAGAGAUGGGGUUUCACUAUGUUGGUCAGGCUGGUCUCGAACUCCUGACCUCAGGUGAUCCACCCGCCUCGGCCUCCCAAAGUGCUGAGAUUGCAAGCAUGAGCCACCGCGCCCGGCCAAAAACAACUUCUAAUAGAUCUUCAAAAACCAGAUGGCGUCUCACUCUGUUGCCCAGGCUGGAGUGCAGUGGCGCCAUCUCAGCUCACUGCAACCUCCGCCUCUUAGGUUCAAGCGAUUCUCCUGCCUCAGCCUGCCGAGUAGCUGGGAUUACAGAGAUCGGAUCUCACUCUGUUGCCCAGGCUGGAGUGCAGUAGUGGCACAAUUAUAGCUCACUGCAGCUUUGAUCUUCUGGGCUUAAGUGAUUUUCCCACCUGAACCUCCUGAGUAGCUGGGACUACAGGUAUGCAUCACCACACUCAGCUGAUUAUUUUUUUGGUAGUCUUGCUAUGUUGCUCAGGCUGUUCUCAAACUCCUGGCCUCAAGUGAGCCUCCUGUCUCAGCCUCUCAAAGUGUUGGGAUUAAAGGCGUGAGCCACAACAUCUGGCCAACUUUUUCUUUUAAAUAUACCAAUGCUUUGUCCUGGCUAACACUUUCUAUUAAUAUAAUGUCUCCCAAAUCCUUGAUAACCAGAAAUUAUUUUAUUUAUAUAUUUUUUUGAAACAGAGUCUCACUUUGUGGCCCAGGCUGGAGUACAGUGGUAUGAUCACUGCUCACUGUAGCCUUGGCCUUCUGGGCUCAAGGUAUCUUCCUACCUCAGACUCCCAAGUAGCUGGGACUAUUGGUAUGUGGCACCACACUUGGCUAAUUUAAAAAAGAAUUUUUUUUAGAGACAGGGUCUUGCUAUGUUGCCCAGGCGGGUCUCGAACUACUGGACUCAUGUGAUCCUCCCAGCUUGGCCUCCCAAAGUGCUGAGAUUACAGGCAUGAGCCACUGUGACUGGCUCAGAAAAGAUUUUAAAAAGCUGAAACUUGAAAAGAUGUGGAGAGGCAAGGAGCUAUAACUUUACAAUAUGGCACAAAAAGAAGAAAGCAAAGAGAGGGGAAAAAAAUGACAUCAACAUGAAGAAAGCUAUUUACCUAAGUUGGGCUGAGCACCAUUUUUGUAGAUUUUAGAAUAAGUAUAGUGGUAACCUAAUUGAUUCGUUAUCUUCUUUGACUCUUAAGCAAGAAGGGCUUCUAUUCCUUUCCUCUUUUCUUUGUUCUUUACACAUUUUCAUCAGAUGAAGGAAAAAUGCAAAUGAUUUUCCUGGCUGCGUGGCUAUGGGUAGAAGGCAGCAUAUUCUUUUAAUUCAGCCUAAAUAUCCAGAUUAGUACUCCUGAUGAUAAUAAGAUUUUAAAUUUUAUAUUAACAGAACACUUAUGUGUCAGGCACUAGGUUAGGCAUUUUACAUGGAUUAUCUCAUCUAACCAUCACAAAAAUGAUUAAAUAGGUACUGUUACUAACCCCAAUUCUUGGAUGUAGAAAUGGAGGUUUGGAAAGGUUAAAAUAGGCUUUCUCAAUAUCAUCACUGUUCACAUUUUGGGCCAGAUAAUCCUCUGUUGUGAGGGCUGUCCUGUGUAUUGUGGGAUUUUUAGCUGCCUCCACAAACUAAAUGCCAGCAGCAACUCCCACCCCAGUUGUGACAACCAAACAUAUCUCUUGUCAAAGACAUUGUCAAAUGUCUUUUAGGUGGGACAAAAUCAGCUGUUGGUGAAUUACUGACUCAAGUAAUCUUGGCCAAGAUCAUGCAGAGAGUAAGCAGAAGAGCUAAGCUUUGAAACCGUGGUCUGAAUCAACAAGCCAAGCUUUUAACUUGAUACACUAUGCUGCCACAUGCCCCUUUCCUAGGAUGAUUACAGAGUAAAAAGAACAAACAGAAAGGCCUAUCCUUUCACUGGCAUUAAAUGGGGGAAUGUCUCAGUUAUAACUGUUUAGUAUUAUUAUUAUUAUUUUCUUUUUUGAGACAGUCUCACUCUGUCGCCCAGGCUGGAGUGCAAUGGCGUGAUUUCGUUUCACUGCAACCUCUGCCUCCUGGGCUCAGGCAAUUCUCCUGCCUCAGCCUCCCGAGUAGCUGGGAUUAUAGGUGUCUGCCACCAUGCCCAGCUAAUAUUUUUAUUUUUAGUAGAGAUGGGGUUUCACCAUGUUGGCCAGGCUGGUCUCAAACUCCCGACUUCAGGUGAUCUGCCUGCCUCAGCCUCCCAAAGUGCUGAGAUUACAGGUGUGAGCCACUGUGCCUGGCCAACUGUUUAGUAUUACGAUUAUGGGAAAGAGAUCUCAAAGGAGAUUUUAGGACAUAAACAUGAAAACACACCAUUUAUAUUACAUUAUAUAACAAUAUACUAUUCUGGUUAGCAAAAGAUUCUUUUUACUUUAUAUAACUUUUCUA